This 233-nucleotide ribosomal RNA is filed under the name uncultured bacterium. RNAcentral describes it as "partial 16S ribosomal RNA". It matches the Rfam family "Bacterial small subunit ribosomal RNA", at positions 118 to 347 of the family's 1533-position model. The record is from RNAcentral.
UGAGCAAUCUGCCCUUCUCAUCGGAAUAAGCGUUGGAAACGACGUCUAAUGCCGAAUACGACCUCCUUUCGCAUGAUCGGAGGUGGAAAGCUCCGGCGGAGAAGGAUGAGCUCGCGGCCUAUCAGCUAGUUGGUGUGGGUAAUGGCCCACCAAGGCGACGGACGGGUAGCCGGCCUGAGAGGGUGACCGACCACACUGGGACUGAGACACGGCCCAGACUCCUACGGGAGCAG